UAAAUAACUACAUAAGAUAAAUAUUACAUAGUAUUCAUGUGAUUCUAAAGGAAUUUUUUAAAUUAAAGUUCCUUUAAUAGGUUAUACUUAAGAGAAAUAUAUGGGCUCACAUGGGUCGUACAAUAGUAUGACAGUGACAUAUGGCAUAUUUCCGUUUAGCAGGGACACCUAUGAGCUGUUAGUUUUAAUAUUAAAGUGAAUUGACUUAUUAUCGAAAUUAGAGAGAAGAACGAUAUUUGUGCAACAUUGAUGCUAUUUGUUCGAUAUUUAAAUUUUUAAGCAAGAUAUUAUAAGCAUUAUUAAACUGUAUGAUUUCACAUACUCAUAUCUCUCU
Molecule: non-coding RNA, 334 nt
Organism: Cinara cedri
Lineage: Eukaryota; Metazoa; Arthropoda; Insecta; Hemiptera; Aphididae
Source: the annotation of a GenBank genome assembly